UACAGAGACUGCAAGCGUUAUUCGGAUUCACUGGGCGUAAAGGGUGCGCAGGCGGUCGAGUGUGUCAGGUGUGAAAGCCCGGAGCUUAACUCCGGAAUUGCGCCUGAAACUACACGACUAGAGCAUUGGAGAGGGUAGCGGAAUUCACGGUGUAGCAGUGAAAUGCGUAGAUAUCGUGAGGAACACCAGAGGCGAAGGCGGCUACCUGGACAAUUGCUGACGCUCAGGCACGAAAGCGUGGGGAGCAAAAGGG
RNAcentral lists this ribosomal RNA (253 nucleotides) under uncultured Opitutus sp. RNAcentral describes it as "partial 16S ribosomal RNA". It matches the Rfam family "Bacterial small subunit ribosomal RNA", at positions 524 to 776 of the family's 1533-position model. The record is from RNAcentral. Lineage: Bacteria; Pseudomonadati; Verrucomicrobiota; Opitutia; Opitutales; Opitutaceae.